Molecule: long non-coding RNA, 620 nt
Filed under: Androctonus crassicauda
Lineage: Eukaryota; Metazoa; Arthropoda; Arachnida; Scorpiones; Buthidae
Source: RNAcentral
AAAUUGCUUGACAUUUAGCUGCUUGAAAAUGUAAAAUUGAAUGAAAAUAACAAGAUAUAUAAGUUUCAUUAUAUCAUUUUUUUAAUGUUUGUGGAAUGUUUUAAUAUCAAUAUGUAAAAUUGAAGUGAGUUGCCAGAACAACUGGAACAAAAUACUCUUAAGCAGGAAAAAUUCUUUAUUUUCAGUAACAUUUUUGGCAAGACAUUUGCUCUGUUCAGUCAUUCUGAAUAGAUAUGUAUAUUCAUCAUUACACUUUAAAGCAUUUUAAUUAAAACAAUAAAUAUUGGUCCUCCAUCUCUAGGCACCAUUAUUCUAUCAACAUUGCACAUUAAAUGUUUUUCCUAUCCUUGUAGAUAUGAACAUUCAAUGUUAUAUAGAAAACAGAGUGGGAAAGAGGAAUAAAAUAUUGUACAGUCAAACCCAGAGUUAUGGCACUCCAGAUUUAACAUAUAUUUUGAAUUACCACCAUUCCUCAAAAUUUGUGUUUUGGAAUUAUAGUUCUUCAGCAGCAUUUUUGAAAAAACAGAAUGCUUACUUUUUCAAAAUAAGAUCUAUAGCAGUGGUGUUCAACCUUUUUUGUUAUGCGAGCUACUUUUCUAUACUAAGUUAUUUGGCGAUCU